This 950-nucleotide long non-coding RNA is filed under the name Malus domestica (apple). Its description in RNAcentral is "long non-coding RNA (MDOM_LNC020188)". The record is from RNAcentral. Lineage: Eukaryota; Viridiplantae; Streptophyta; Magnoliopsida; Rosales; Rosaceae.
CCUUAAUGAGCACCUACAUACUUGUCUUAGUGUCACCACACGAAUGGGAUGAGACUUUCCAUCCUUCCAAUUGAAGCAGACACAGUAUGUACCGGUCUAAGCAUUGUCGUAUCCCUCCGACAAUCCAAUGACCAAGAACCUUUUGGACAUAAUGGUUAUGUGAAGAAGGUCUCUGUAGUCUAACAUCAUUAGAUUACUUCUUCAAUCAAUCCAUUGUCCAUGGAUUCACUAUUUAGGACAUAUAUCGUUUAUUGAGAUAGUCCUAAUUAGUAUCUUUGCCAUUUGAUGUAUAAGAGUCAUCUAUACAUCGAUUCAUUUGUCCUGAAAGGUUUCUUCCAAAGAUUGACUUUCAGGGCAUAUUUCCAACAAUCUCCCACUUGCACUAAAGUCAAUCACUAGUGUAUCUUAUACAUGCUAGUUGAGAGAGCUUAUGCUUGUAGGUUAACUUGGUUAUUUAUUAAUCCUUUUUAUUUAAAAGGGAUUUACUUAUCAAAUGUUUCUAAAACAUUUGAUGAUGUCUCUUUAUUGUGUUCGAAUACUUUGAUGAGACCUUGAUUCCAUGGCUUGAGCUAUCGCCCCAUUACGUCGUAGUAUCCUACUAACGACCUUAUGGUUUGGAUUCAAUCAUUGGUUCUAAAAGAACCUCUUCCAUUCAAAACACCUUUUGAAGCAGUUUCUAAAACUAUAUAUCGACAUAUAUUUCGUUUGUAUACUUUAUACAAACUUUGCUCCAACCUUGAGACCAUUGUAGUACAAUACUAACAAUUCAUUCAUAUGAUCAAUACUUCAUCCAUUAUGAAGUUCCAUUUGUUAAAAUGGCUUAUUUUCACUUUGGUUAACAACCUAAGUGAAUGCACGCUUCCAGAGUCCCACUCUGAUGUUUCUUUCUUAAAGGCAAUAAUACUUUAUCAGUUGCUUUGGUUCUGAUCCUGGGAUAUAGUAAUAUCUUA